ACAGCAGUCGCCACGGUAAAACGUAGGGUGCAAGCGUUAAUCGGAAUUACUGGGCGUAAAGCGUGCGCAGGCGGUUCGUUAAGACAGAUGUGAAAUCCCCGGGCUUAACCUGGGAACUGCAUUUGUGACUGGCGGGCUAGAGUAUGGCAGAGGGGGGUAGAAUUCCACGUGUAGCAGUGAAAUGCGUAGGGAUGUGGAGGAAUACCGAUGGCGAAGGCAGCCCCCUGGGCCAAUACUGACGCUCAUGCACGAAAGCGUGGGGAGCAAACAGGAUUAGAUACCCGAGUAGUCCCUGUCUCUUAUAC
RNAcentral lists this ribosomal RNA (305 nucleotides) under uncultured bacterium. RNAcentral's name for it is "partial 16S ribosomal RNA". It matches the Rfam family "Bacterial small subunit ribosomal RNA", at positions 505 to 807 of the family's 1533-position model. The record is from RNAcentral.